Molecule: long non-coding RNA, 1243 nt
Filed under: Brassica napus (rape)
Lineage: Eukaryota; Viridiplantae; Streptophyta; Magnoliopsida; Brassicales; Brassicaceae
Description: long non-coding RNA (BNAP_LNC000040)
Source: RNAcentral
UGCAACGCCGGACACGUGUAAGCCGAGCGAGUACUCGUUGUUUUUCAAAAACGCGUGUCCGAGAGCUUAUAGUUAUGCUUACGACGAUGGAACAAGUACGUUUACUUGCGCCGGAGCUGAUUACCUCAUCACUUUCUGUCCUUCUCCUAACCCAAGGUAAAUAUAUUUCAUUAUUUACUGCAAGUAAAUAAAAUUACUACAAAAGCUAUGGUUGUUUUCAAGUGGAAACACGAAUAAGAAUAUUUUACAAACAAUUUGGUAUUUUUUUUUUAUAAUUAUAAGCUUUUGCUCCAAUGAUCGUUCAAAUCAACUGAAGAAAAAAAAAUAAAAAGUUUGGUUCAGAUUCUUUUUGAAGAAUUCCGGUUUCGAUUUUUUAAUCACAUGAAAUAUUCCUAUACUUUUUUGAAUGUUGGCGAUAAAUAAUGAGUCACUUUUUGUUUGUAACGUUUAAUUUGAAGAAAGUGAGGCGUUUGGGACGCCGGAGUAUUGCUGUAGCGGCGCGUUUGCAACGCCGGACACGUGUAAGCCGAGCGAGUACUCGUUGUUUUUCAAAAACGCGUGUCCGAGAGCUUAUAGUUAUGCUUACGACGAUGGAACAAGUACGUUUACUUGCGCCGGAGCUGAUUACCUCAUCACUUUCUGUCCUUCUCCUAACCCAAGGUAAUAUAUAUUUCAUUAUUUACUGCAAGUAAAUAAAAUUACUACAAAAGCUAUGGUUGUUUUCAAGUGGAAACACGAAUAAGAAUAUUUUACAAACAAUUUGGUAUUUUUUUUUUAUAAUUAUAAGCUUUUGCUCCAAUGAUCGUUCAAAUCAACUGAAGAAAAAAAAAUAAAAAGUUUGGUUCAGAUUCUUUUUGAAGAAUUCCGGUUUCGAUUUUUUAAUCACAUGAAAUAUUCCUAUACUUUUUUGAAUGUUGGCGAUAAAUAAUGAGUCACUUUUUGUUUGUAACGUUUAAUUUGAAGAAAGGUGAGGUCAAAUCACCGUAUAAAAAUCAUGAGACGUGUUUGUCAUAAUGCACCGUGUUGUUUUGUCAAUUUGUGAAAUGAUGAGACAAGACGACAUUUUCAUUUUUCACCCGUUGCAAUAAUGAUAAUAAAUAAAAUAUCUAAUGUUCUCUGUUGUAUGCAUAGAUUUUUUUUUUCUCAUUCGAACGUCGGUGAACUGUGCCCAUGUGUGGUCCGACACGGCUCUUUUGUUCAUACAAUAAUUAAUAAUAUUUGUAUUUUUUGUAAUUUGUCUCAG